Acanthosepion pharaonis is the source of this 111-nucleotide non-coding RNA. The record is from the annotation of a GenBank genome assembly. Lineage: Eukaryota; Metazoa; Mollusca; Cephalopoda; Sepiida; Sepiidae.
CGUCCGUAUCACGUUGAAAUACCGGUUCACGUACAAUCACCGACGUCAAGCAACGUCGAGUCUGGUCAGUACCAGAAUAAGUGACCGCUUGGGUAUACCAGAUGCUGUAAG